RNAcentral lists this non-coding RNA (30 nucleotides) under Mus musculus (house mouse). Lineage: Eukaryota; Metazoa; Chordata; Mammalia; Rodentia; Muridae. The record is from RNAcentral.
UUUGUUUUUGGCUUACAGUUUAUAGUGUGU